GGGCCGGGUCAAGCCGGGUUACCCGUUUUGACAGCUCUAUUUUAUAGAACCCGUAUGGGUUUAUAGACCCCUUCUGAGUUUGGGUGUUGCUCCCUACACCUCCCCAAGUGGGACCUGUACCUCCCCAUUAAUUUAAUUUAUUUCAAAAAUAUUUUAUACCUCCCCACUACUUUCUUUUAUUCGAAAAAUACUCUAAACCUCCC
Molecule: long non-coding RNA, 203 nt
Filed under: Vigna radiata
Lineage: Eukaryota; Viridiplantae; Streptophyta; Magnoliopsida; Fabales; Fabaceae
Description: long non-coding RNA (VRAD_LNC017968)
Source: RNAcentral